RNAcentral lists this ribosomal RNA (654 nucleotides) under Triticum aestivum (bread wheat). RNAcentral describes it as "partial small subunit ribosomal RNA". The record is from RNAcentral. Lineage: Eukaryota; Viridiplantae; Streptophyta; Magnoliopsida; Poales; Poaceae.
AUGGAACUGCUGGGAGGGGGGAAUACCUGGACAGUUCAUGAAUUAGCGACUAUAUGUAAGUCCCAUUCCCCCAAUAUGGUGUUUGUGUGUGAGACUAGGCAAAAGGUGGAAAAGAUGAGAAGAAUACGUGGAAGGUUAGGUUUGAAGGGUUUUGCAGGAGUUGAUAGUAAUGGAAUGACUGGAGGUUUGGCUUUGUUCUGGCAUGCGGCUUACAUUGUUGAAAUUCUGGACAUGGAGGAACGUUUUAUUGAUGCUCUAGAGAGAGUACAUGAAGGUGCUGAACAGUGGAGGAUUACUUGUGUGUAUGGAGAACCGCGAGUUGAAAAUAGGCAUCUCAUGUGGGAGAAGUUGCAGAGGCUGAAGAAUACUAAUGAUCUGCCAUGGUUGGCAGUCGGUGAUUUCAAUGAGGCAAUGUGGGACUUUGAACACCUAUCGGCUACACCACGAGCGGAGGCACAUAUGAUCGCUUUCAGUGACACGUUGGAGAUUUGUGGUCUAGUGGACCUGGGUUUUGUUGGACCGCCGUUCACAUAUGAUAACAAGAGAGGGGGCGCUGGCAAUGUGAAAGUCCGCUUGGAUAGGGCGGUAGCCAGGAAUGCUUGGAGGAAUAGGUAUGUGUUUUCCUCUGUACUACACGUUCCGUAUCCAUGCUAG